This is a long non-coding RNA of Bos indicus x Bos taurus (hybrid cattle), 1463 nucleotides long. The record is from Ensembl. NCBI's taxonomy places the organism in Eukaryota, Metazoa, Chordata, Mammalia, Artiodactyla, Bovidae.
AACUUGGCAAAUUUUAGUUAACUUCUCUUACCCUCACUGUAAACAAUAUAUAUAGCAAUAUCUAUUUUAUGGGCUUCCUAGGUGGCUCAGUGGUAAAGAAUCUGCCUGCUAAUGUAAGAAAUGCAGAUUCAGUUCCUGGAUUGGGAAGAUCCCCUGGAGAAGGAAAUAGCAAUCUACUCUUGCCUGGGAAAUACCAUGAACAGAGGAGUCUGGCAGGCUACAGUCCAUGGGGUUGCAAAGAGACACAACUGAGCGACUAAACAACAGCAUCCACUUUAUAGACUUGUUAGAAUUACAUGACUAAAUGUAAGUAAAAUACUUUGCACAAAGCCUGACCCAAUGAAAAUGCUUCAUAAAUAGUAGUUGUUGCUGAUGCUAUAUUUGUAGUUAUUAUUACAUUUACCACUCUUAUUUCAGGAAGGGAGCUCAGAAGAAAAUUAUUAUUCAUAGUUGCUAAAUAUUUCUUAGUAAUGAACAAGUCACAUGACUAUCAUAGAGACAAUUAGAAUCAUGAUACCAGUCAUACAUAACCUAUUCAAAAUCUUAAUAUGUCACAGAAGGGAGAAGUUUGAACAAACCAUCCCAAACAAGAAGCAGAAAAUUUGGAACAUACACCCCUGCACCAGAGCAAUCCAUAAACUCAAAAAUUUCUUCAAGGCACCACGAAGCUUAAGGAAACUAAGCAAGGAGAUCAAACCGGUCAGUCCUAAAGAAAAUCAACUCUGAACAUUCAUUGGAAGGACUGAUGCUGAAGCUAAAGCUCUAAUACUUUGGCCACCUGAUGUGAAUUACCGACUCAUUGGAAAAGACCUUAAUGCUGGGAAAGAUCGAACACAGGAGGAGAAGUGGAUGAGGAGGAUGAGACAGUUGGAUGGCAUCACAGAGUCAGUGGACAUGAAUUUGAGCAAGCUCUAGGAGAUGGUGAAGGAAAGGGAAGCCUGGUGUGCUGCAGUCCAUGGGGUCGCAAAGAGUCGGACAUGACUGAGAGACUGAACAACAAAAAUCAGGAAGCUGAAUGAAAACAGAAAGCUUCAUUUUGUGAAUUAGUUUUCUUGAAACACAACAUCCUGCCUACAAUGUCUCCAAGGAGAGAACACUCUUAUCCUGAAGACUUCCUCUUACCUUCCUUUCCUGAAGGAAGAUGGACUAUUCCUUAACAGGCACUGACUCACUUGGGCAGAUGCAGCAGUGAUUUCCUGCAGCAUAUGUCAGCCUUUGCAGAGCUACUCAGACCAAAACAGCAGCCCAGUCCCUGGAGCUGACAUUCAUUUGAUCUCUUUUAAUUUGCCCCCAAAUCAUCAUUACCAGAGUGUGUCUCCCAAAUAACUGAGAACUCCCCACUUGUUUAUCUUGAACUCUGCUUAGCACUUCUAGAAUGAAAAAUAGUAUCUUUAUAUAUGACUAUAAAAUAAUGAGACAUACCUAUUACCCACAAUAAACACACAUUUUCUCCUAAUAACUCA